GACGAACGCUGGCGGCGUGCCUAAUACAUGCAAGUUGAGCGCUGAAGGUUGGUACUUGUACCAACUGGAUGAGCAGCGCACGGGUGAGUAACGCGUGGGGAAUCUGCCUUUGAGCGGGGGACAACAUUGGGAAACGAAUGCUAAUACCGCAUAAAAACUUUAAACACAAGUUUUAAGUGUGAAAGACGCAAUUGCAUCAAUCAAAGAUGAUCCCGCGUUGUAUUAGCUAGUUGGUGAGGUAAAGGCGCACCAAGGCGAUGAUACAUAGCCGACCUGAGAGGGGGAUCGGCCACAAUGGGACUGAGACACGGCCCAAACUCCUACGGGAGGCAGCAGUAGGGAAUCUUCGGCCAUGGACGAAAGUCUGACCGAGCAACGCCGCGUGAGGGAAGAAGGGUUUCGGAUCGUAAAACUCUGUUGGUAGAGAAGAAAGUUGGUGAGAGUGGAAAGCUCAUCAAGUGACGGUAACUACCCAGAAAGGGACGGCUAACUACGUG
Molecule: ribosomal RNA, 497 nt
Filed under: uncultured bacterium
Lineage: Bacteria
Description: partial 16S ribosomal RNA
Rfam family: Bacterial small subunit ribosomal RNA
Source: RNAcentral